Molecule: small nuclear RNA, 145 nt
Organism: Zalophus californianus (California sea lion)
Lineage: Eukaryota; Metazoa; Chordata; Mammalia; Carnivora; Otariidae
Gene: U4
Rfam family: U4 spliceosomal RNA
About the family: U4 small nuclear RNA (U4 snRNA) is a component of the major U2-dependent spliceosome.
Source: Ensembl
AGCUUUGCUCAGUGGCAGUAUCGUAGCCAAUGAGGUUUAUCUGAGGCGCGAUUAUUGCUAAUUGAAAGAUGGGGAAAGUUUCUUUCUUCUACUUAUUAACCUAAUAGCUAAAACAACCAGAAAAUUCUGCAAGUUAGUGUUUUAA